UGAAUGGUGGAACGAGGCUUAACUGUCUCCCCUUUCAAGUCAAUGAAAUUGAUCUGCCCGUGCAGAAGCGGACAUACAAAUACAAGACGAGAAGACCCUUUGGAGCUUAAGAUACAAGAUCAACUAUGUCAAAACCAGUUAAACUAAAUAGCACCUGAUCACAAUCUUCAGUUGGGGCGACCACGGAGAAAAUAAAGCUCCCACGCGGACCGGUAGCCACCCCAAAACCAAGAGAAACAACUCUAAGUCACAGAAUUUCUGACCAAAAAGAUCCGGCCACCCGCCGACCAGCGAACCAAGUUACCCUAGGGAUAACAGCGCAAUCCCCUUUCAGAGUCCAUAUCGACAAGGGGGUUUACGACCUCGAUGUUGGAUCAGACAUCCUAAUGGUGCAG
RNAcentral lists this ribosomal RNA (395 nucleotides) under Noturus gilberti (orangefin madtom). RNAcentral's name for it is "partial 16S ribosomal RNA". It matches the Rfam family "Bacterial large subunit ribosomal RNA", at positions 1993 to 2558 of the family's 2925-position model. The record is from RNAcentral. Lineage: Eukaryota; Metazoa; Chordata; Actinopteri; Siluriformes; Ictaluridae.